UCCGUAGGGUGAACCUGCGGAGGGAUCAUUACUGAGUUUACGCUCUACAACCCUUUGUGAACAUACCUAUAACUGUUGCUUCGGCGGGCAGGGUCUCCGUGACCCUCCCGGCCUCCCGCCCCCGGGCGGGUCGGCGCCCGCCGGAGGAUAACCAAACUCUGAUUUAACGACGUUUCUUCUGAGUGGUACAAGCAAAUAAUCAAAACUUUUAACAACGGAUCUCUUGGUUCUGGCAUCGAUGAAGAACGCAGCGAAAUGCGAUAAGUAAUGUGAAUUGCAGAAUUCAGUGAAUCAUCGAAUCUUUGAACGCACAUUGCGCCCGCCAGCAUUCUGGCGGGCAUGCCUGUUCGAGCGUCAUUUCAACCCUCAAGCUCUGCUUGGUGUUGGGGCCCUACGGCUGACGUAGGCCCUCAAAGGUAGUGGCGGACCCUCCCGGAGCCUCCUUUGCGUAGUAACUUUACGUCUCGCACUGGGAUCCGGAGGGACUCUUGCCGUAAAACCCCCAAUUUUCCAAAGGUUGACCUCGGAUCAGGUAGGAAUACCCGCUGAACUUAAGCAUAUCAAUAAGCGGAGGAA
This 576-nucleotide ribosomal RNA is filed under the name Colletotrichum cigarro. Its description in RNAcentral is "eukaryotic LSU rRNA". The stretch from base 204 to 357 matches the Rfam family "5.8S ribosomal RNA". The record is from RNAcentral. Lineage: Eukaryota; Fungi; Ascomycota; Sordariomycetes; Glomerellales; Glomerellaceae.